Molecule: ribosomal RNA, 106 nt
Filed under: Enterobacter sp. UCD-UG_FMILLET
Lineage: Bacteria; Pseudomonadati; Pseudomonadota; Gammaproteobacteria; Enterobacterales; Enterobacteriaceae
Description: partial 16S ribosomal RNA
Rfam family: Bacterial small subunit ribosomal RNA
Source: RNAcentral
ACUUAAAUUGAAGAGUUUGAUCAUGGCUCAGAUUGAACGCUGGCGGCAGGCCUAACACAUGCAAGUCGAGCGGUAACACAGGGAGCUUGCUCCCGGGUGACGAGCG